UACGUAGGUGACCAGCGUUGUCCGGAUUUACUGGGCGUAAAGAGCGCGCAGGCGGUCGUUCAAGUCGAGUGUGAAAGCCCCCGGCUCAACUGGGGAGGGUCACUCGAUACUGAUCGACUUGAAGGCAGGAGAGGGAAGCGGAAUUCCCGGUGUAGUGGUGAAAUGCGUAGAUAUCGGGAGGAACACCAGUGGCGAAGGCGGCUUCCUGGCCUGUUCUUGGCGCUGAGGCGCGAAAGCUAGGGGAGCGAACAGG
This 253-nucleotide ribosomal RNA is filed under the name uncultured bacterium. RNAcentral describes it as "partial 16S ribosomal RNA". It matches the Rfam family "Bacterial small subunit ribosomal RNA", at positions 524 to 776 of the family's 1533-position model. The record is from RNAcentral.